Long non-coding RNA from Ictalurus punctatus (channel catfish), 3680 nucleotides. Lineage: Eukaryota; Metazoa; Chordata; Actinopteri; Siluriformes; Ictaluridae. The record is from Ensembl.
GGUCACGGUGAAGUGACUUUGAGCCUUGUCUAACUGGGCCUCUUUGAGAGCAGCCCUCGCAUUCCUGCUCACUCAGACAGUCCAUGCGGCGCUUGUUACCAGCGCCGGGGAGGAAGUUUCUGCCGGUAGGGAUUAUGCGCAGUUUCCUCAGCCCGGGAGCUUCGGCCUUGUCCCCUCCCACCGCCGAAAAAAGCAGCGAUUCCACAAAACGAGCAGGAGGGGGAAAGCGGUGCGCCACAAACUUAAACCUGCUCUUCUCGCCACCAGGCAGUGCCCGAAGGUUUCUCCUCGCACUUGCUUUUUAUAUAUUUCUAUAUUUUAAAAACAUAUCUCGAGCUCUGCUUGCGCACCACGGUACGUUUUUCAGUAGGAAACAUCCAACGUUUCGGCCAUGUUCGCAGCACCGUGGUACAGAAGUGCAUUGUAUUGGGACCCGAGUAAGGAAGGAGGGAGCGAGGGAGGAGGAGGAGGAGGAGGAGGAGGAGGAUGGUGGUGCUGGAGAAGCACACAGCUGCACGGCACACAGAAGCCGGUUUCCCAACCCUGACAGCAAGGGAGCGAGGGAACAAGGGGCCUCGCUUCAGCAGCUCCAUCCAGGAGAGAGAUGUUCUUUCUUUCUUUCUUUCUUUCUUUCUUUGUAUUUUUUAUUUUUUUUAAACCGCUCUGAAAUACAGAAUGGAUCAGGACGAGAAAGCGGAUUCUUUUCCCUUGUCCGUGGCUGGCUACUCUUAUCCACUACAAAUGUACCAUUUUGCAGCCGAAGUGGGAUACGGCGAUCUUUCUCUGUACACUCCAGUGAAUCCAGCUCCCUAUUUUAGGUAUGUAGGGCACUAUCUUCUGAAGUAGCAGAAUCGCACACCUUCUUAUCGAGGGCUCAUGAAGUCAUUGUGGCGAAGGUUUAUUUUUGGCAGAGGUCUGUGCUGUUCCCUAAUAAAGUGUCUCCAGGCACAAGUUGUUGCCCAGACUUUUCUGAAACACGGCUAUCUCCUAUCCCCGCUCCCUCCCUCCCUCCCUCCCUCCCUCACUACACACACACACACACACACAUUCUCACACAGCUUCCUUCCUUUGAGAUGUGCCGUGCUCUCCACACCGACCCUAAUGAGGACUGCUCUAGUUAAGAUAUAUUUCGAGACCUUUGGAGGAAAGGGGCCGUGUUAUUUUUCAUACGUGCGUGUGCGUCCGUGAUCUAACGGAUAGUCAGGUGGAAGUGGGGUUUUCGCUCGACCCUCCACCCCAACAGGCGUCACGCAAGGUGCAGAGCGUUUGUAACUGCCUCUCGGGCCGUAAAUGUGUCGUGCUGCCAUUUGCAGGGAAAAGAAGGAAAACCACAAUUAGCCACAGUGUUUUAUGAGCUGUUAGCUUCCAGGUGUCUGGUGGCAUGUCGAGGAACAGAAACCCCGUCCCCACCCUACAUCGCCCCACAUCACCCCACCCAACACCUCAUACGACGUGUUUCCCCAGGUAUUACGUUUCCUCACGAGGAACUGAUCUCGACAGUCUUAAAAAGCAGGAUCGUUUCUCGGCUUUUUUUUACGUGAGAACUUUUCGAGACGUGAAAGUAGACAUAGCGUGGUGGCCUUUUAUUUAUUUUAUUUCUUUAUAUAAGAAGAUUUUUUUGUGUGUGAAAUACGUAUGUGCGAUUAUAUACAUUUAUAUGAUUUUAUCCGAAAGCUGUCUAUUCAAAAAAUUCUGACUUUUCUGACUGUGAAAUUCGGAGAAGUUGCUAGUAAACCGUCGUAAUGUUAAUUUAUUUCCUUUUUUUUUUUUUAAAAAAAAGUUUUGGCACUCUAAACAUUAUCCAAAUAUACCGUUCGUGUGUGAGGUUGUACAGACGCUGCUGCGUCAGACACACACGUCAUUUGAGAGGCUGUUAUUGUUAUGAUAAGUGUGUUAAAGAUAAGACAGUCGUCGUUAAGAUAGAUUAGACACCUUAAUUGUGUCUGUUCAAAUUUUGUCAUUCUUCGUCUGCAGUAUGUCGUUAGAUCACGUUUACUGUUCAUUAUCAUUAUUAUUAUUAUUAUUAUUAUUAUUAUUGGGUUGUUUGGGUUUUUUUUGUUCAUUUAGCAAGACAAGAACACUUAAUUAAAAUCAAAUGUUUAAUUAACUGUCAUAUAAUUCACCUUUCCUUUGUACUCCUUUUACAUAAAUAAAUAAAUAAAUAAAUCCGUCCCAUUACUGUGUCUCAGGCACAAUACGACACUGUUUCAAUGACAGAUCUCCUACACUUGUCCAUUGUGUACCAUUGAGGUGCUCUGUCUGAAUUUUUGCCCCUCUCUCUCUCUAUCACACACACACACACACUCUCGCACUCUCUCUCUCACACACACACACACACACACACAGGUUUUGUUAUCAGUGAAAUGGCACUAAGGAGCUUUCUCCCCCACACAGUCCCUCACCGGGUGAGCCAUAAAAGCGAUGAUGUCAUGUCUGAGCCGGAGACUGUGGCCGUUCGCAGUGAUCCAUUUCUUAUUCAGUGCACUUGAAUGGCACAAAGCUGAGUGAAAAGGGAUUGAGAGAAAGAUAGAACUAGCCCCCCACCCCCCAAAUGAAUUUAGCACAGACAGUAUCUACGCAGUUCCCAAUCUGGACAGGUGUGUGAGCGUAAAUAAAAGGUUCGUAAUCGAGUGAAGAAAAUAGUAAUAACUUGCCCGAAGGAGACGAGAUUUUAUUUUUAGCCCAUCCCACCCCCCACCCCCCCCACCCAAUAAACAAAUAAAUAAAUAAACGUUUUCAGCUGUAUCUUUCAAAGGUGCGCAUGUGCUGUCACGGUGUGACGGCAGUGCCAGAGAUGGGAGAAGACUGGCUGUCUGAGCACAGUGGUAUUACUUCCUCCUCAUUACUAAGCCCACGGCAGGGGCUCAUUGGAAGGGCGCGACACGUCUCCUUGUCUCAGAGCCACGGUCCACUCGAAAUGACCGGGCAUCUCCUUUGAUGGCCAGGCUGACGGGCGUGGAGGCCGUUUUCAUUAGGACGUCUUCCAGGAGGGUGGGAGGGCGGAGGGGGCUGUGACUGGCGGUGUAAAGAGUAUACGAGGAAAGGGGAGUACGCCAGACACAAAAGGCAAAGGCAAAUAUUUAGUGUGAGACAAUGGCAAGGCACCAUGGGGUUAACUUGUCCUAUUGUCUGCCCGUAAUUGGAGGAGCGGCUCAAGGAGAACGUCACCGGUCGGUGCUGUUAAUGAUCCAGGCUUUGGAAGUUGGACUGACUCUGAGGAGCUGUAAAUUUGUCUCAUCACAUGGUCGUCGUGUCGCUCUCGAUUUGGCCACGUGCGACGAGCGGGCGUGCGUGCGAUACGUUUCCGGAGCCGUGCUACAUCAGGAAUAGAAAGUUAAGAAGUCACCUUGUGCAGCAUGCAGGUUUGGGUACACCUUACGUGCUGAUGUUAUCGCCUGAUGUAAAGCGACGCGUUCUCCUAACUGAAGUCUGUGACUUUCCCCAGAAGUCAUCCUGGUCGACCUAAAGGCUUUUCCACGUCGGCCAUGCAUAAGUCAUGUAGCGCUACCCUUGCGGCAGUGUGUGUGUGUGUGUGUGUGUGUAAGUCACGUGGUAGGGUGUGCAGUAAGGAAAGCACAGCUGGUAAGUUCUGCAUAUACAGAAGACUCACAGACACACACACACACACACACACACACACACACAUACAUACAUACAUACAUACAUACAUACAUAUAUAU